UAAGUUAUGUGCGCAUGACAAAACAAGAC
RNAcentral lists this small RNA (29 nucleotides) under Bombyx mori (domestic silkworm). Its description in RNAcentral is "ovarian small RNA-19457". The record is from RNAcentral. Lineage: Eukaryota; Metazoa; Arthropoda; Insecta; Lepidoptera; Bombycidae.